RNAcentral lists this ribosomal RNA (639 nucleotides) under uncultured Pseudomonadota bacterium. Its description in RNAcentral is "bacterial SSU rRNA". It matches the Rfam family "Bacterial small subunit ribosomal RNA", at positions 66 to 700 of the family's 1533-position model. The record is from RNAcentral. Lineage: Bacteria; Pseudomonadati; Pseudomonadota.
ACGAUGAUUUCUAGCUUGCUAGAAUGAUUAGUGGCGAACGGGUGAGUAAUGUAUCGGAACGUAUCCAAUAAUGGGGGAUAACUAAUCGAAAGGUUGGCCAAUACCGCAUACGCCCUACGGGGGAAAGCAGGGGAUCUUCGGACCUUGCGUUAAUGGAGCGGCCGAUAUCAGAUUAGGUAGUUGGUGGGGUAAAGGCUCACCAAGCCGACGAUCUGUAGCUGGUCUGAGAGGACGACCAGCCACACUGGGACUGAGACACGGCCCAGACUCCUACGGGAGGCAGCAGUGGGGAAUUUUGGACAAUGGGCGCAAGCCUGAUCCAGCAAUGCCGCGUGCAGGAUGAAGGCCUUCGGGUUGUAAACUGCUUUUGUACGGAGCGAAAAGGCUUCCACUAAUACUGGGGGCUCAUGACGGUACCGUAAGAAUAAGCACCGGCUAACUACGUGCCAGCAGCCGCGGUAAUACGUAGGGUGCGAGCGUUAAUCGGAAUUACUGGGCGUAAAGCGUGCGCAGGCGGUUAUGUAAGACAGGUGUGAAAUCCCCGGGCUUAACCUGGGAACUGCAUUUGUGACUGCAUAGCUAGAGUACGGUAGAGGGGGAUGGAAUUCCGCGUGUAGCAGUGAAAUGCGUAGAUAUGCG